This 610-nucleotide long non-coding RNA is filed under the name Cricetulus griseus (Chinese hamster). RNAcentral's name for it is "lncRNA (ENSCGRG00015029132.1)". The record is from RNAcentral. Lineage: Eukaryota; Metazoa; Chordata; Mammalia; Rodentia; Cricetidae.
AGGAAAGGCAUUGAAUGGUCACCAGAGAGAGACACCAUGUAGCUGCCAAAGGAGUAACGUGCUGGAGCAUUACAGAACAGGUGCCAACUGACCUGAUAGGGUGGCUCUUGGGGAACUUGGAACACUUUGGACAACAUCACCCGGCUCUGACCAAGAGCUUGAGGAGAUUUUCAAGAAGGCGGAAGUGGGGAGGUCACCAGGCAGCAGUGACCAGCCUUAUCCCAGCCCCCAAGGAGCUCAGUCUGAUACCUUCUGAACAACUGAGUAUUGAGGAUCUUCUACUUCCCCAUUGCUCCAGCACCUCUGGGGCCCGUGUGGUGGUUUGAAUGAGAAUGGCCUCCAUAGACUCACAUGUUUGAAUACUUGAUCCCCAGGAACUGCUUGGGAAGGACUAGGAGGUGGGGACUUAUUGGACUAAGUGUGUCACUCUGGGUAAAAUUUCAAGUUUCAAAAGCUCGCACCAUUCCUAGUUAGCUCUCUAUGACUUGUGGUUGUGUCUCAAGACAGAAGCUCCCAGCUACUGCUCCAGUGCCAUGCUUGUCUGCCUGCCUGCUGCCAUGCUCCCUGACAUGAUGCCCAUGGACUCUAACCCCCAGAAACUGUAAGCCCC